RNAcentral lists this long non-coding RNA (1497 nucleotides) under Marmota monax (woodchuck). The record is from RNAcentral. Lineage: Eukaryota; Metazoa; Chordata; Mammalia; Rodentia; Sciuridae.
AUGGUGUGAAAAUACUUUUUGUACAACCAGAGACUUGAAAAAUGGUGCUCUCUACGUCUAAUAUGAAAUGAAUUGCAUUCUGCCAUCACAUAUAACAAAUUAAAAUAAAUAAAUAUUUUAAUAGAAAAGUGAAUAAAUAAACAAGGGGAGGACAUCCACCUUGUUUUCAUGAAAUUAAGAAAUAAAGCCCACAGCAGCCAUGGCAUUGGAAUUUGGCGAGCAUGCCAGUGGCUUUCUCCACAAGGAGGUGGUCCGAUUCAUUAAUAAUGAAGCUCUCCUGAACAGUGGUGGCCCAGAGUUCUACAUGGCCUUUCGCUCUUGUCCUGGAACAAGGUAGAGGAGCGGCUUUGCACUGUGGUGGUGGACUCUCAGGUGCCUCGAGACCUCAAGAGGGAAUGCACCUGAAGUGCCCUUGCCCUGGGCGUGCGAGCGGUGGCCAGGCAGUGGGAGCAGCAGGGGCGUCGUGCCUGUCUGCUGCAGGACCAACUGGAGGAGGGUGAGGCGGCUUGCUGGGCUUUGGCCUCUGAGCUGCAGUGGCUGUAUGAGGACCGUGAUGAUGCUACUACUCAGCUGCACUUCACUCAGGUUGUCUUGCAACAGGCAAUGGGUGAGCGUGAAGUGCUACGUGAGAGACUACCUCAGGCUGAGAGGUCAGCCUUCACAGAUCCAUUGCCCCCAAAGGUUGUACCUGUUAUGGGAGCCCAACAGCAUGGUGCUGUGGCAUGGUCCCUGGAAGGAGAGGAACAGGCAGAGGUGGUAGCGCCUGGAACACAGGGCAUACCACAUUUGGAGGCCCAGAUGCCAGCCCCAGCACCUUUGCUUUAUGUGCCAGGACACCCAAGUCCUUGGCUCCAGGCAAUGCAACCCCAUGUGAAAAUGUCUGUGCCCCAUUCAGUGCCAAUCCCAGUGGGAUUCCCAUACUCAACAUCUCUACAAGCCCCUGUAGUAAUGGAAUCAGAAUCAGCAGGAACAACAGCCACAGCAGUGGCAGCAGUUGCACCCCAGGUGCCUCCUCUAGUGAGCUAUCCACCUGGCUUGUGGGCUCCAGUGGGGUGCCAGGAGGGAAUGUGCCGCAGUCUGGCUGGGCACAAUCAGGAGCCACUUGUCAAAAGAAACUAACUUUAUUUUUAGAACCACACACGCCAAACAAAACAGCCUCUCAGGAAAAACCCUCAGAGCCUCAACAGCCACCACCGGCUUUCCAUAAGCCUCUCUCUCCCACACAAGCUUCUCUCCACCUCCCACAAUCCUCCUGCUCUUGAGGCCGAUUGGCUGGGUCACGUGGGCGGAGCCAAAAAAGUCCCCCAAUGAGCAGCUCCGUGGUCUGAAAGGGCAGGGAAACAGCCCAAUGAGCAUCACCGCAGAGGAGCCAAUCAGCUAGAUGUUGCUGGGGCCGCUGUGAGCCAAUCAUCAGCCGGCAGCUGGAAGUUUGCUGGCAGCUGGAAGUUUGCUGGGGCCCCUUCGGCUGUGGCUCUCAACAUCUCCCCCUCUCUGUUU